UGAGUCCUACGGGGGGCAGCAGUGGGGAAUAUUGCACAAUGGGGGAAACCCUGAUGCAGCGACGCCGCAUGAGUGAAGAAGUAUUUCGGUAUGUAAAGCUCUAUCAGCAGGGAAGAAAAUGACGGUACCUGACUAAGAAGCCCCGGCUAACUACGUGCCAGCAGCCGCGGUAAUACGUAGGGGGCAAGCGUUAUCCGGAUUUACUGGGUGUAAAGGGAGCGUAGGUGGCAUGGUAAGGCAGAAGUGAAAACCCAGGGC
This 258-nucleotide ribosomal RNA is filed under the name uncultured bacterium. Its description in RNAcentral is "partial 16S ribosomal RNA". It matches the Rfam family "Bacterial small subunit ribosomal RNA", at positions 333 to 608 of the family's 1533-position model. The record is from RNAcentral.